UUUCCGUAGGUGAACCUGCGGAAGGAUUAUUAUCAUGUAAUUCAGUCCCCUUGGCUGUGUUAUAUAUAUACCCACUCUGUGUACCUUCUCCUGUUGCUUCCGCUGGGUGUGUAAUUCGCCCGGCGGAAGGGUAAAAAUAACCUCUGAGUAUUGAUGAAAUCUCUGUCUGAACCGAAUAGAAAGAAAAAUGUUAAAACUUUCAGCAACGGAUCUCUUGGUUCUC
RNAcentral lists this unclassified non-coding RNA (223 nucleotides) under plant metagenome. RNAcentral describes it as "partial contains small subunit ribosomal RNA, internal transcribed spacer 1, and 5.8S ribosomal RNA". The record is from RNAcentral.